Molecule: ribosomal RNA, 405 nt
Filed under: uncultured bacterium
Lineage: Bacteria
Description: bacterial SSU rRNA
Rfam family: Bacterial small subunit ribosomal RNA
Source: RNAcentral
GUGGGGAAUAUUGCACAAUGGGGGAAACCCUGAUGCAGCGACGCCGCGUGAGCGAAGAAGUAUUUCGGUAUGUAAAGCUCUAUCAGCAGGGAAGAAAAUGACGGUACCUGACUAAGAAGCACCGGCUAAAUACGUGCCAGCAGCCGCGGUAAUACGUAUGGUGCAAGCGUUAUCCGGAUUUACUGGGUGUAAAGGGAGCGUAGACGGCUGUGCAAGCCUGAAGUGAAAGGCCGGGGCCCAACCCCGGGAGUGCUUUGGGAACUGUGCGGCUAGAGUGUCGGAGAGGCAAGUGGAAUUCCCAGUGUAGCGGUGAAAUGCGUAGAUAUUGGGAGGAACACCAGUGGCGAAGGCGUCUUGCUGGACGAUGACUGACGUUGAGGCUCGAAAGCGUGGGGAGCAAACAGG